Molecule: ribosomal RNA, 181 nt
Filed under: Gilliesia atropurpurea
Lineage: Eukaryota; Viridiplantae; Streptophyta; Magnoliopsida; Asparagales; Amaryllidaceae
Description: Solaria atropurpurea 5.8S ribosomal RNA
Rfam family: 5.8S ribosomal RNA (bases 6-161)
About the family: 5.8S ribosomal RNA (5.8S rRNA) is a component of the large subunit of the eukaryotic ribosome. It is transcribed by RNA polymerase I as part of the 45S precursor that also contains 18S and 28S rRNA.
Source: RNAcentral
CGCAUGACUCUCGGCAACGGAUAUCUUGGCUCUCGUAUCGAUGAAGAACGUAGCAAAAUGCGAUACUUGGUGUGAAUUGCAGAAUCCCGUGAAUCAUCGAGUUUUUGAACGCAAGUUGCGCCUGAGGCCGUCUGGUCAAGGGCACGCCUGCCUGGGCGUCACGCCUAGCGUCACUUCAUGC